CGUCACAAUCGGAGGAAAGACGGAGGCGUAUCACGACUUAGCGGAAGACUUCAAAAGGGCAGGAACAGGUAUCCAGGGUCUUGGAAUACAAGGUCAUACUAAAGACUUCAUCAAGCCUGACCCUACCAUGAUCUGGAGACGACUUGACAGACUGGCACAAACCGGUUUGGAACUCUUCAUGACGGAGUUCGACCUCGGGCUGGCA
Molecule: long non-coding RNA, 205 nt
Organism: Pomacea canaliculata
Lineage: Eukaryota; Metazoa; Mollusca; Gastropoda; Architaenioglossa; Ampullariidae
Exons: 3
Source: RefSeq, a predicted model, not a curated record